GGCCGGUUGGCAGAAUGGUCAUGCAGAGGAUUGCAAAUCCUUGUAUAUCGGUUCGAUUCCGGUACCGGCCUCCA
RNAcentral lists this transfer RNA (74 nucleotides) under Candidatus Paracaedibacteraceae bacterium. RNAcentral describes it as "tRNA-Cys". It matches the Rfam family "tRNA". From Rfam's summary of the family: Transfer RNA (tRNA) molecules are approximately 80 nucleotides in length. Their secondary structure includes four short double-helical elements and three loops (D, anti-codon, and T loops). Lineage: Bacteria; Pseudomonadati; Pseudomonadota; Alphaproteobacteria; Holosporales; Candidatus Paracaedibacteraceae. The record is from RNAcentral.